CGGGGGUGGCAACGGCCAUGGCGGAGGCGGCGGGCUCUGAGGCGUCCUUCUGCCUGCAGAAAUUUACCCUAACAGACGACUCUAAAGAUGAUUAUCAGUAUGAAGAGGUUCCAGAAGAUGAUGAAUUUAGUCUUCAGGAAGAUGAUGAGGAUCUGACGAAGGCUUUGCAGACUAUUCAAGAGCAGGCUGAAGAUGCCCAAAUUUUAG
Calidris pugnax (ruff) is the source of this 207-nucleotide long non-coding RNA. RefSeq lists it as uncharacterized. The record is from RefSeq and is a predicted model, not a curated record. NCBI's taxonomy places the organism in Eukaryota, Metazoa, Chordata, Aves, Charadriiformes, Scolopacidae. The transcript has 3 exons.